CCUACGGGUGGCAGCAGUGAGGAAUAUUGGUCAAUAGACGAGAGUCUGAACCAGCCAAGUAGCGUGAAGGAUGACUGCCCUAUGGGUUGUAAACUUCUUUUAUAUGGGAAUAAAAUGUUCCACGUGUGGGAUUUUGUAUGUACCAUAUGAAUAAGGAUCGGCUAACUCCGUGCCAGCAGCCGCGGUAAUACGGAGGAUCCGAGCGUUAUCCGGAUUUAUUGGGUUUAAAGGGAGCGUAGGUGGAUUGUUAAGUCAGUUGUGAAAGUUUGCGGCUCAACCGUAAAAUUGCAGUUGAAACUGGCAGUCUUGAGUACAGUAGAGGUGGGCGGAAUUCGUGGUGUAGCGGUGAAAUGCUUAGAUAUCACGAAGAACUCCGAUUGCGAAGGCAGUUCACUGGACUGCAACUGACACUGAGGCUCGAAAGUGUGGGUAUCAAACAGGAUUAGAUACCCGAGUAGUC
RNAcentral lists this ribosomal RNA (460 nucleotides) under uncultured bacterium. RNAcentral describes it as "partial 16S ribosomal RNA". It matches the Rfam family "Bacterial small subunit ribosomal RNA", at positions 338 to 795 of the family's 1533-position model. The record is from RNAcentral.